This 537-nucleotide ribosomal RNA is filed under the name uncultured bacterium. Its description in RNAcentral is "bacterial SSU rRNA". It matches the Rfam family "Bacterial small subunit ribosomal RNA", at positions 359 to 917 of the family's 1533-position model. The record is from RNAcentral.
GGANUUGCNAAUGGGGGAACCCUGAUGCAGCGACGCCGCGUGAGCGAUGAAGCCCCUCGGGGUGUAAAGCUCUUUCGGCAGGGAAGAUUAUGACGGUACCUGCAAAAGCAGCUGCGGCUAACUACGUGCCAGCAGCCGCGGUAAUACGUAGGCAGCAAGCGUUGUUCGGAGUUACUGGGCGUAAAGGGUGCGUAGGCGGCUUUUUAAGUUUGGUGUGAAAUCUCCCGGCUCAACUGGGAGGGUGCGCCGAAUACUGAGAGGCUAGAGUGUGGGAGAGGAAAGUGGAAUUCCCGGUGUAGCGGUGAAAUGCGUAGAUAUCAGGAGGAACACCGGUGGUGUAAACGGCUUUCUGGACCAUAACUGACGCUGAGGCACGAAAGCGUGGGUAGCAAACAGGAUUAGAUACCCUGGUAGUCCACGCCCUAAACGAUGCAUAUUUGGUGUGGGCCAUUCAUUUGGUCUGUGCCGGAGCUAACGCGUUAAAUAUGCCGCCUGGGGAGUACAGUCGCAAGGCUGAAACUCAAAAGAAUUGACGGA